This 337-nucleotide long non-coding RNA is filed under the name Mytilus galloprovincialis (Mediterranean mussel). The record is from RNAcentral. Lineage: Eukaryota; Metazoa; Mollusca; Bivalvia; Mytilida; Mytilidae.
GUCUAAUGAACUUAAAAUAAUUUUUUUUGUCUUUGAGCAAUCACUAUGCUGUUGAAUAUUAAUCCUCUCAAAAAAAUGGUUGAAGAAAUUUUCUUUUUAUUUAUGAAAUCUGAAAUGAGAAAAAUUAACCCCCCCCCCCCCCACCACCAUUUUUUUUUCACAUCCCCCUUUCCCUUUUUUCAAAACUGAUCUCAAUUCAAAUUUCUAAUGGAGUUUGAAACAAUAACUACUCAUUUAAAUACAUCAUAAAAUAUUAAAAUGUAACAAAAAGUGCUUGUUAUCACUGAAUGGUAAAGAGUGUUUUAAUUUAUCAGUUGGUAGUAAAAGUGAAUAUACA